GUUGCAUCGUCUCCUGCAUUUCUCUAGGGUUUGGAGUAGGAUUUCAUCGUUGCUAUCAUGACUCAAUGUGAUACUCACCAUUCGAGUGCUUGGGGUGUGUGACUUGAGUCACUUGGCCGUAUCAGUGCUGAGCUCCAAGAUGGGAAGCCAAUAAUAUGUGUUACGGGUCGUGACGUGAUUACCCUUUAAAGGCCAGCAGAUUUGCGUGUUCAAAUUUUAAUUUCUGUUCAAUUGGUCAAUAAUCAUCCUUCCGGCGGAAGUGCUUUUGGGUAUUCAAUUCAACAAUGUUUGGUAAGUUUCCUAAGCUUGCAUGUCAUUUUCAUUAUUUAAUAUGCAUCAUUAUCAGUUCAACGACGGAGGUGGGAGUCCCUUGCUUGGAUUUGGCAGCUUUGAAGCAUGCAAUUCGAGGACAAAAAAAAGGGACCCGAAAUUUUAACUUCCCAUAAAAUCGAGGCGCCAAACAACGAUGUUUAAGGUAAAGUGAAACGGAGGUCGGUAGCUACUCUCAUCUAGCUCCUCAUCGCACCGAUACUGACUGUAUCGUCGGUCUCGGGAAUCAUAAGCGUUCACUCUGAAGAGCUAAGGACAAUGGCUUCCUCUGUCUCAUCUUCAGUUAGCAAGGAAGUCCCAGAAGUAGUUGACCAACUGGAAAAAAUCACUGCACCCUAUGGCUCAUGGAAGUCCCCAAUCACCGCUGAUGUUGUGUCCGGCGCCUCCAAGCGAAUCGGAGGUACUGCUGUUGAUGACUCUGGUCGCCUUAUCUGGCUUGAAUCACGGCCCUCUGAAUCUGGGCGUGAAGUUCUCGUCAAGGAGCCGGAGAAGCUGGGUGAUGAGCCUAUUGAUAUUACUCCAAAGGAGUUUUCAGUUCGGACCACUGCACAGGAGUACGGCGGUGGUGCUUUCAUGAUAUCUGGGGAUACUAUAGUCUUCUCCAAUUUCGAGGAUCAGAGACUAUAUAAGCAAUCCAUUAACCCCAGUAGUAGCCACUCUUCUCCUCGACCUCUCACUCCAGAUUAUGGUGAACCGUUAGUCAGUUAUGCUGAUGGAGUAUUUGAUUUACGUUUCAAUCGUUAUAUUGCCGUACGGGAAGAUCGGCGCAAUAACAGCUCAAGUCCAACCACGACAAUUGUAUCUAUAGGACUCGAAGAGAAGGCUAUAGAAGAUCCGGAGGUACUUGUAGAGGGAAGUGACUUUUAUGCUUUUCCUCGAGUGGAUCCCAAAGGGAAACGGAUUGCAUGGAUCCAAUGGUAUCACCCUAACAUGCCAUGGGAUAAAUCAGAGCUCUGGGUUGGUUACCUUUCUGAGAAUGGCAAAAUCAACAAACGUGUCUGUGUUGCUGGUUGUGAUCCAGAGCUAGUGGAGUCACCUACUGAGCCUAAGUGGUCCUCUGAGGGAGAACUUUUUUUUGUUACCGAUAGGAAAAGUGGGUUCUGGAAUCUAUACAAAUGGUUCGAGGCAGAUAAUGAGGUGUCUCCAGUUUAUUCUUUGAAUGCGGAGUUUUCACGUCCACUAUGGGUUUUUGGCAUAAACUCUUAUGGUUUCUUACCUGGCCAUCAAGGAGAAAACUAUAUUCUCUGCAGCUAUAGGCAGCAUGGGAGGUCAUAUCUUGGACUCGUGGGUGAUACACAAAGCUCGCCAUCUCUGCUUGAUAUUCCCUUUUCAGAUAUUGAUAAUAUUACAAUUGGGAAACAUUGUUUUUAUGUGGAGGGAGCGUCAGCCUUUCAUCCACCAUCAAUUGCUAGGGUUACUCUAGAAGAGAAAAACUUGAAAGUAGUUGAGUUCACCAUUAUUUGGUCAUCAUCGCCUGAUAUUUUGACGUAUAAGUCAUACUUCAGCACUCCUAGGUUAAUUGAAUUUGCAACAGAAGUGCCUGGUGAAAAGGCUUAUGCCUAUUUUUAUCCACCAUUCAAUCCCCUUUACCAUUCUUGUGAGGACGAGAAGCCUCCAUUGUUGCUGGAAAGCCAUGGAGGCCCGACAGAUGAAUCACGUGGAAUAUUAAAUCUAAGAAUCCAGUAUUGGACUAGUCGAGGAUGGGCUUUUGUCAACGUUAACUAUGGAGGAAGCUCUGGUUACGGGAGGGACUAUCGGGAAAGGCUUUUGAGGAAGUGGGGAAUUGUUGAUGUCAAUGACUGUUGCAGCUGUGCAAAAUAUUUGGUUGAUUCAGGAGCAGUUGAUGCAGAACGAUUAUGCAUUGCUGGGGAAUCUGCUGGGGGAUACACUACCCUAGCUGCUCUUGCUUUCAGAGAUACAUUCAAGGCAGGAGCUUCCUUGUAUGGUAUAGCUGACUUGCGCAUGUUGAGUGCAGACAUGCACAAAUUUGAAUCUCAUUAUAUUGAUAAUCUUGUCGGAGGUGAAAGAGAUUAUUAUGAAAGGUCGCCAAUUAAUUUUGUGGAAAAAUUCUAUUGUCCAAUAAUUUUAUUCCAGGGAUUGGAUGACAAAGUUGUGCCUCCUAUUCAAGCUCGUAAGAUCUACGAAGCAUUGAAAGAGAAGGGCAUGCCUGUUGCUUUAAUUGAAUACGAAGGAGAACAACACGGCUUUCGCAAGGCGGAGAACAUAAAAUUUACGUUGGAACAACAAAUGCUGUUCUUUGCACGAUUGGUCGGACGCUUUGAAGUUGCUGAUUAGAUCAGUCCAAUCGAAUUUGACAACUUUGGACAUCCCAGGCGAUUUCAUGGCAGUGUGAGUUUUGAGUGCUCAAUGUCCCCAAAUGAUUUGAUCAUGCCAUCACUUCUCCAACCGAUAUCAAAUGGUCCUUUGGUCACUGGGUUUCCGAUAGGGUUUUAUUCUUGCCUGUUCCUCUGGACUACUUUUCAUUCCAUGGUUCACCCAAGCGACUUCCUGGUAUUGCUGUCGUUGACAAUGAUCCCUCGAUUCUUAUUCGGAUGAGGAUGUCCUUUCCUUGGCUCUUGGACUACAUCCUAUGAUUGAAUUGUUAAAAUUGAUUGUUGUUCCCUAAUUCAGGUUUUUAGGUAAACAAUUUGUAGUGAUUAUAAGUUUAAAAUGCUGCGUACUGCAAUUCUGUUUAAGAUGGUUCAAACAUGAGAGCCUUUGUAAAAUAAUUAGAAAAGCCUUAAAUUCAGAUGGUGAACAUAUUGUUAAUCA
Cucurbita pepo subsp. pepo (vegetable marrow) is the source of this 3102-nucleotide non-coding RNA. The record is from RefSeq and is a predicted model, not a curated record. Lineage: Eukaryota; Viridiplantae; Streptophyta; Magnoliopsida; Cucurbitales; Cucurbitaceae.